CCUACGGGAGGCAGCAGUGAGGAAUAUUGGUCAAUGGCCGAGAGGCUGAACCAGCCAAGUCGCGUGAGGGAAGACGGCCCUACGGGUUGUAAACCUCUUCUGUCGGGGAGCAAAGCGAGUCACGUGUGACUCAUUGAGAGUACCCGAAGCAAAAGCAUAGGCAAACUCCGCGCCAGCCGCGGCGGUAAUACGGAGGAUGCGAGCGUCAUCCGGAUUUAUUGGGUUUAAAGGGUGGGCGGGGGGAGGUGCAAGUCAGCGGUCAAAUUGCGGGGCCAAACCCGGUACUGCCGUUGAAACUGCAUCCCUUGAGUGCGCGAGAAGUAGGCGGAAUGCGUGGUGUAGCGGUGAAAUGCAUAGAUAUCACGCAGAACUCCGAUUGCGAAGGCAGCAUACCGGCGCGCAACUGACGCUCAUGCGCGAAAGCGUGGGUAUCGAACAGGAUUAGAUACCCGGGUAGUC
This 459-nucleotide ribosomal RNA is filed under the name uncultured bacterium. RNAcentral's name for it is "partial 16S ribosomal RNA". It matches the Rfam family "Bacterial small subunit ribosomal RNA", at positions 338 to 795 of the family's 1533-position model. The record is from RNAcentral.